Molecule: ribosomal RNA, 2277 nt
Filed under: Triticum aestivum (bread wheat)
Lineage: Eukaryota; Viridiplantae; Streptophyta; Magnoliopsida; Poales; Poaceae
Description: partial small subunit ribosomal RNA
Source: RNAcentral
AUGGCCUCCUCCUCCUCACCCUCCCCGCCUCUCGCCUCUCCCUCCCGGACAAACCCUAACCCUCACGCCGGCGCAGAUCCUCGAUCUGAUCCCUCCAUGCCCGCCGCCAGCGACGGCGACGGAGCCUCCCCCGCGUCGACGGAGCUGCAGGAGGAGGCCGAGCUGGCCGCGCCGGGGAAGGAGGAGCUGGAGCCCCCUACACCUGCCGAGGAGACCCCAACCCCUAGGAAGACACGCCUGCCGCGCGCCUGCAACAGCAAGCCGAGGCUCCCACCCCCGCCGCCGCUAGAACGGCUGCGUCGCCGAGCUGCAGCGGGUGCCGACGCGGACGUGACGCCGCAAUGCCGCGUGGUGACGCCGCUUGUGUCGGAGCCCGAAGCGCCCGCGGAGCUGGCACGGUGGCGACUCCGCUGUAUGUGGGAGCUCGGCUCCGUCCUCAACUUCUUCCACGUGUUCCGCGCUUUGCUCAACAUCACGGUGGAGCUCACGGCAGAGGAUAUCGAGGCGGCACUUAUCACGCCUAACGGUACUCUAUACGAUCUUCACAUGCCGCUGCUAAAGUCAAUUCCCCCAAUAACCCGCAUGGCGAUGGGGCGCGGAACCUGGGUAACCGUCCUAUGUAGAAAACUAAGGGAUUGGUGGCAUUGGGUUGCAGAAGGUGAUCUACCAAUAGUUGCAUCACAUGGAGCUGAAAUUGAAAUGUACAAGGAGCUUGAACCAUCGACUCGUUUACUGAUCUUGAAAGCGAUAUGUGACAUACGUGUCGAGCAAGAUGAUAUACGCAACUACAUUGACACUAACGUAAAGCGUGGUUAUGACCUUUCUACCUUCCGUAAAGAACGAAUUGGGGGAGAUUCCCUUGGAAUCUCAUAUUGGUACGAAGAUGAUCCAAUUCUUGGACAUAGAUUGUAUCGUGAAAUUAGACGAGUGGAACAGAUGAAGAAGGAACCUGGGAAGAGAUCGAAGGGAAGAAGAAUUUCAACUCCUCCAGUUGUGUCGUAUCAUUGGGAAACCGUUGCGUCCACUUUUGAAGAAUUUGAUGAUGUUGCAGAAAAACUAUCUUCUAGUCGGAACAGGACAGAGGUUUCCCUUGGCAAGAAGUUGAAGAUUGAAUAUCUUCCGGAGAUCGAAAAGAUUCAUAAAAAGAAGGAGAAGAUGCUCAAAAAGCAACAGAGAGAAGCUCUCCUCCUCGAUAGUUACUUGACAUCAGAUAUUACCACUGGUCGAUCUCUUCGUGAUAGAAAGCCUGUAACAUAUACUUUUGAUGACUAUGACCGCUCAAUAAACGAAGCCAUUAAAAUAACGAAGAAAAGGGAAAACUCUGCCGAGCUUGUUACUACUCUCAAUAGAAGGAUGCUUAUACCGAGACAAGAGUCAUCAAGUAACGGCAAGUUAAAUGGCCUCUCCCUAGCCAAUGAAUUAGAUGAUGGAAAUUCUUCAAAGUCGGAUGACUACCAAGAUAGUGAUGGGGAACAAGAAAAUGAAGCACUUGAUCGCAGUAACCGGCGCAGGAGAAGAUCUCAGCGAUACACACAAGAUUUUGUUCAGGCUGUCUCGGAUAUUGAUCUGAACUUUGACAGUGAUGAUGAUAUCAUGGGAGAAGCGGUUUAUGAUGAGGAAUAUUUGAGAACUCGCAAACUGCUGAAGACAUCAAGUGCUUCUGAAGAGGAUGAAGAGUUCCGGUUGGAAGAGGAUGUUGAAGAUGACGAUGAAGAAGAGGAAGAGGAGUUUUCUGCAGGCACCAGCGAAGAUAUAGAGGAGCCCCAGCGUCAUAAAAAGUUGCGAAGUCAAAAUGUCCGAGGUGCUAAGCUGAGAUCUGUUGAUGAAAUCCAAACAGGUCUCAGACGCAGCAAGCGUUCUUCUCGUCCACGUAUAAACUACCAGCAGUAUGAUUUUUCAGAUACGGAUGCAGAGGCGGGAAAGGCAGGUAAAUCAGAUGCAUCAGACCCUGAUGCCAACUCUGAUGCAGAAAAUGGUAUGGAACUCUCGACAUCAAGUCAAGGGCAACAGGAAGAAGAGGAUGAUGGCCCCGAGGAACUAAAAGUUAGUAAUGGUAACGAUAAAAUGGCUGAAGACCAUGCAGUGGCAGCAAAUAAAGAGCAAAAGGAGGAGCAGCUGCAACUGCAGCCAGAGUCUGUAGAGAAGAUGGAUGCUCCCAGCAGGGAGAAUGGAAGUGUUGGAAGAACAUUCCUAGAUCUAAACGAGCUUGCGCCUGGAGGUGGCUUUGACGAAGGCCCUAGCCUGGCAAUGAAAGAUGAGGACAUGGAUAACAGUUAG